UAGGAGAUAGUGUAACGGGAGCACUAGGAGUUUUGAUCUCCUGGGUUUGGGUUCAAGUCCCUUUCUUCUAA
Molecule: transfer RNA, 71 nt
Filed under: Saurida eso
Lineage: Eukaryota; Metazoa; Chordata; Actinopteri; Aulopiformes; Synodontidae
Description: tRNA-Gln
Rfam family: tRNA
About the family: Transfer RNA (tRNA) molecules are approximately 80 nucleotides in length. Their secondary structure includes four short double-helical elements and three loops (D, anti-codon, and T loops).
Source: RNAcentral